RNAcentral lists this non-coding RNA (161 nucleotides) under Cicer arietinum (chickpea). RNAcentral's name for it is "Eukaryotic small subunit ribosomal RNA". It matches the Rfam family "Eukaryotic small subunit ribosomal RNA", at positions 1667 to 1823 of the family's 1831-position model. The record is from Rfam by way of RNAcentral. Lineage: Eukaryota; Viridiplantae; Streptophyta; Magnoliopsida; Fabales; Fabaceae.
CACUGCCUGUUGCUCCUAUCAAUUGAAUGGUCUUGUAAAUUGUUCGAUUUACGGCGAUGUGGGUGGUUCGAUGCUCACGACAUUGUGAUAAGUCCACUGAACCUUAUCAUUUAGAGGAAUGAGAAGUCGUAACAAGGUUUUCGUAGGUGAACCUACAGAAG